This is a ribosomal RNA of 849 nucleotides. It matches the Rfam family "Eukaryotic small subunit ribosomal RNA", at positions 260 to 1111 of the family's 1831-position model.
CCAAGCGAAUCGCAUGGCCUUGAGCCGGGCGAUGGGUUCAUUCAAAUUUCUGCCCUAUCAACUUUCGAUGGUAAGGUCGUGGCCUACCAUGGUAUCAACGGGUAACGGGGAAUUAGGGUUCGAUUCCGGAGAGGGAGCCUGAGAAACGGCUACCACAUCCAAGGAAGGCAGCAGGCGCGCAAAUUACCCAAUCCCAACACGGGGAGGUAGUGACAAUAAAUACUGAUACAGGGCUCUUUUGGGCCUUGUAAUUGGAAUGAGUACAAUUCAAAUCCCUUAACGAGGAACAAUUGGAGGGCAAGUCUGGUGCCAGCAGCCGCGGUAAUUCCAGCUCCAAUAGCGUAUAUUAAAGUUGUUGCAGUUAAAAAGCUCGUAGUUGAAACUUGGGCCAGGCCGGCCGGUCCGCCUAACCGCGUGCACUGGUUCGGCCGGGCCCUUCCCUCUGGGGAACCGCAUGCCCUUCACUGGGCGUGUCGGGGAACCAGGACUUUUACUUUGAAAAAAUUAGAGUGUUCAAAGCAGGCCUAUGCUCGGAUACAUUAGCAUGGAAUAAUAAAAUAGGACGUGCGGUCCUAUUUUGUUGGUUUCUAGAACCGCCGUAAUGAUUAAUAGGGACAGUCGGGGGCGUCCGUAUUCUGCCGCGAGAGGUGAAAUUCUUAGACCGGCUGAAGACGAUCUACUGCGAAAGCAUUCGCCAAGGAUGUUUUCAUUAAUCAGUGAACGAAAGUUGGGGGAUCGAAGACGAUCAGAUACCGUCGUAGUCUCAACCGUAAACUAUGCCGACUAGGGAUCGGGCGGCGUUCAAAUCUUGACCCGCCCGGCACCUUACGAGAAAUCAAAGUCUUUGGG